GACGAACGCUGGCGGCGUGCUUAACACAUGCAAGUCGAACGGAAAGGCCCUGCUUGCAGGGUACUCGAGUGGCGAACGGGUGAGUAACACGUGGGUGAUCUGCCCUGCACUUCGGGAUAAGCCUGGGAAACUGGGUCUAAUACCGGAUAUGACCUUCCAUGUAGUGUGGGGGGUGGAAAGAUUUAUCGGUGUGGGAUGAGCCCGCGGCCUAUCAGCUUGUUGGUGGGGUAAUGGCCUACCAAGGCGUCGACGGGUAGCCGGCCUGAGAGGGUGGACGGCCACAUUGGGACUAAGAUACGGCCCAGACUCCUACGGGAGGCAGCAGUGGGGAAUAUUGCACAAUGGGCGGAAGCCUGAUGCAGCGACGCCGCGUGGGGGAUGACGGCCUUCGGGUUGUAAACCUCUUUCGACAGGGACGAAGCUUCGGUGACGGUACCUGUAUAAGAAGCACCGGCUAACUACGUG
Molecule: ribosomal RNA, 465 nt
Filed under: uncultured bacterium
Lineage: Bacteria
Description: partial 16S ribosomal RNA
Rfam family: Bacterial small subunit ribosomal RNA
Source: RNAcentral